Molecule: ribosomal RNA, 123 nt
Filed under: Oryctolagus cuniculus (rabbit)
Lineage: Eukaryota; Metazoa; Chordata; Mammalia; Lagomorpha; Leporidae
Source: RNAcentral
GUUUCUGGCCAUACCACCCUGAAUGCACCUGAUCUUGUCUGAUCUCGGAAGCUUAGCAGGGUCAGGCCUGGUUAGUACUUGGAUGGGAAAGUAAGCUUAACAUGACAAAGGGUACUAUAAGUA